GACGAACGCUGGCGGCGUGCCUAAUACAUGCAAGUAGAACGCUGAAGAGAGGAGCUUGCUCUUCUUGGAUGAGUUGCGAACGGGUGAGUAACGCGUAGGUAACCUGCCUGGUAGCGGGGGAUAACUAUUGGAAACGAUAGCUAAUACCGCAUGAAAUGGAUUAUCGCAUGAUAAUUCAUUGAAAGGUGCAAAUGCAUCACUACCAGAUGGGCCUGCGUUGUAUUAGCUAGUUGGUGGGGUAACGGCUCACCAAGGCGACGAUACAUAGCCGACCUGAGAGGGUGAUCGGCCACACUGGGACUGAGACACGGCCCAGACUCCUACGGGAGGCAGCAGUAGGGAAUCUUCGGCAAUGGACGGAAGUCUGACCGAGCAACGCCGCGUGAGUGAAGAAGGUUUUCGGAUCGUAAAGCUCUGUUGUAAGAGAAGAACGAGUGUGAGAGUGGAAAGUUCACACUGUGACGGUAUCUACCA
RNAcentral lists this ribosomal RNA (474 nucleotides) under Streptococcus sp. oral taxon 071. Its description in RNAcentral is "bacterial SSU rRNA". It matches the Rfam family "Bacterial small subunit ribosomal RNA", at positions 28 to 485 of the family's 1533-position model. Lineage: Bacteria; Bacillati; Bacillota; Bacilli; Lactobacillales; Streptococcaceae. The record is from RNAcentral.